ACCAUUUCUUAAAUUUCAGAUGUCAAACGAAACUGCAAACCUUAAUUCCACAUCAAACGAACUGAUCGACAAUGACGUACUAAACCUAUUCCUCGGUAACAACUCUGUUUAAUGAAUUUAGUUAUUAAGUAUAAUGUAGUAAAUCAUUAAAAACUAAUUUUCACACCUCAUCAAAAAGGUAGAAAUAGAGAUAAUUAUAAAAUUAUAUUCAACAUUGAGUUCUUUGGAUCAGUUAAUCUUGUAAAGAUGCACUUAUAAACUGCAUUAAAAAUGAUAACCUUCGACAAAUAUAUAAAAAAUAUUUACAAAACAUUCUAGCACCGUGAAGAUAAAAACUGACCAUUUAUUGGAAAUCUACGUAUCAAUAGGUAAAGAUGAAUAAAUUGAAUUCCAUAUUUCGUCUGUAUGUCAACUGAUUUUCUACGAACUAAGUAAUAUAAAUAGCCUCUAUUCAUCAUAUUUCACGCUCUUUAGAAGAAAAAUGUUGGAAGCAUGUAAAUUAUAAUAGGAGAGCCGCAGAAAGUAUUUUUGGAUUAACUCGAGCGCGUUUCUGUUCUGAACCUCGUGCGUGGUAUUUUUUUUUUUAAUUUGAAGAAAAUAAUUCCUGAAUAACAAAAGAAAAUAUUUUCUAACAAAUUUCGGUAACUCAACUAAUAAAAAAUGCGUUUAAAUUCUGCAGUUUUUUGACCUGACCGUUAAAAACGUAAAUACAUAGCUUAUUUAUCUUACCAUUUAAUCAAACCUGUCUAAUCUAAAAGGACUCUCGAAUAAAUCCACAUUUUAACAUCAUGGGUUCUCCUACCAAUACUAAUCGUUUUCGUCCCAAACUGUACAUUAUUGUUUUCAGUGUAUCCCAAGGGCAUUCCUUGUCAUUCUCAAAUACUGCCGCCAUAUUUACGAAGCCUUCCGGAAAUUCAAACAAGGUGUAACGAAAUCAUGAUUGGAAUGUGUAAAGUAUGUUCAUUUAACUUCAAGCCUUAUUAGUAUCACGCUUAGGGGACUGGACUCAGAACCAAAAGGUCUAUGGUUUGUUCCGGCCCUUUAUCUAUGUAUGAGUAUGUGCAAUGGUAUAACUCAAGCAGUCUUUUCGCGUGUUUGGAGGAGAAGGGGGUCAUGGCAUUGAUAUUCCCUAGAACUCUUAAAAAAGCGAUUUGCUUUAUCUUUUCUUAUAGAAUAAGAAAAAGCCUGGCUGAGUUUGUUUUAGACUCUUCUCGGACCACGAGAUUUUAGAGAAUUGAAAUAAUUGAAUUGAUUUUUGACGCAUUGGCUAGGGUGUAGAACUCUCUCCCGAAGUUCCUAUUUCCUGAUUCUAUAUCCACCACGUUAAGCCACGACUAAACUUGCCAACAUAAGAGAUCAUGAUCAAGCGCGAUCCUAUUUCAUAUUUAAAAAUGUCUCUCUGAACUUAUUUUAGGUACCUUGUGAAGAUGGCAUAUUUGAGAUUCGGUCCGCUGCAGGAGAAAUCAUAGAGCGAGUUAACAACACAGCCGGGAUUUACUCAUUAUGUCAAAACAAACCACACCAGCCGCCGCCAAUCGCAAGGAAUACUAUGUUUGUUUUACCAGGAUCCAAGGUUCACAUUCCUUGCCCAGGGUUAAUAUGCAAUUUUUUGUAAAGUAUAGUACAAUAAAACGGCAUACAGCGGGCGAUGGAACAAGCUAUGCUCGGAGUAUCUUUGCGUGAUCGAUCAGAAAUGAGAAGAUCCGCAGACGAAGCAAAAUCACCGACAUACCUCAACGACCCGCGAAACUGAAAUGGCCAUGGGCGGGGUUUGAAGAGUCGAUGGACGUUAGGGUCCCAAGGUGCUAAAAUGACGACCCCUAACAAAAAGAGCAGUGACCAGGUGGAUUGACGACAUCAAGCGAGUCGCAGAAAUUCGCUAGCAGCACAACUCUCCGCGAUAUUCCGUCAACAUGGCGGGUCGGCAGCGAACCGUCUUCCCCGCAGGCACUGGACGCGGCCACGAGCGGACGGGUGCACCUCAACGCGAGGGAUCACUUCGUGUUCAGUGCCGUGGAGCACGGUGACACUAAUGUGUACAGUUGCUGGCAAGCAGACAUACUGGUUGGAGUGGUGAAGCUAGAGGUGUCGCAGAGCGCAGAGGACGCCUACAGACGUCGCUUCACAUUGCUGGCUAUCAUCAUACUGUUAUUGUUUCUGCUGAACGUCGCGAGGCGUUUGUCUUACCAUGUCUUACGGCAUGACUGAUAUAUUAUGUUUUUAAUUAUAUUGUUAUGUAGGAAAUAGUAGUCUGAGAUGGAUCUGACGUCGCUCGGUCUCGUGUUGGCUUCUGCCAACGCUAAGUGGCGCGAUUUGUUUCCGUAAAGAGUAGGGAGUUAGAGAGGGGGUUGGCGGGAACGACUUGCGAUAUAAGGCGCUCGUCGCACGGUCGGCAUCAGUAUGUUCGUAGCGUUCGAGCCAUCCAUAUUUCUUGUUGUGUAAUAUUUUAUGGGUUACUUAGGACUUGAGUGGAAAAGGGGAGUGUUAGUUAAUUGUCAAAGACGUCUUUAACCCUACACACAACGUUCACAAGUGCGUGACUCCACUAAAGGUCAUUCUCUGCCAUUCUAAAGUCUUAUUUUGGUCACAAUUUGAUUUUUUAAUUAAGUUGUCCUGACAAAUGUUGUGAAUGUUGUGAAACCUUUGUUCGACAUUGGUUAUUUUAUUUGUGUAAUCCACUUCUGAGUCUGCUAAAAGUUAAUUAAUUUGUCUAUGUAAUAAAUAAAUAAUAAUAUUAUUAUUUAUUAAAUAUAUUAUUUAUUAUAAUAAGGAAAGGUAGGGGUAUGGUUAGGGGUACUGUAAGGGUAGGGUAGAAUAGGAUAGGGUUAGAGAAUGAGUCAAAGCGAAGCUUGACCGCGUCGGCUAGUUGUUUAUAUUAAAUUUGAUAUAAGCCAACUAUCCUUAUCGAAUAAAUCAAGCGUGAUCUCUCACCAAAAUUCUGCGCUCGAAAUUGUAGACGAAUAUAUAUACCUAGGACACACAGUCUAGUUAGGUAGGUCCAAUUUCGAGAAAGAGGUGAAUCGCCGAAUCCAGCUCGGCUGGGUAGCGUUCGGGAAACUCCGCGACAUCUUUUCGUCCGAAAUUCCUCAGUGCUUGAAGACGAAAGUCUUCGAUCAGUGCGUGUUGCCAGUGAUGACAUACAGAUCCGAGACUUGGUCACUGACUAUGGGCCUUAUUAGAAGGCUCAAAGUCACUCAGCGGGCGAUGGAGCGAGCUAUGCUUGGAGUUUCUCUGCGUGAUCGAAUCAGAAAUGAGGAGAUCCGCAGACGAACCAAAGUCACUGACAUAGCUCAGCGAGUAGCGAAGCUCAAGUGGCAAUGGGCGGGCCACAUAGUUCGAAGAGCCGAUGGACGUUGGGGUCCCAAGGUGCUGGAAUGGCGACCCCGCACCGGAAAGCGCAGUGUUGGGCGACCCCCCACUAGGUGGACCGAGGAUGUCAGGCGGGGUUGCAGGGAGCCGCUGGAUGCUGGCGGCUCGAGAUCGUUGUGCUUGGAGGUCCAUGCAAGAGGCCUAUGUCCAGCAGUGGACGUCUAUCGGCUGAUAAGGUAAGGUAAGGUAA
Bicyclus anynana (squinting bush brown) is the source of this 3559-nucleotide long non-coding RNA. RefSeq lists it as uncharacterized. The transcript is spliced from 3 exons. Lineage: Eukaryota; Metazoa; Arthropoda; Insecta; Lepidoptera; Nymphalidae. The record is from RefSeq and is a predicted model, not a curated record.